GCACAAGCGGUGGAGCAUGUGGUUUAAUUCGAUGCAACGCGAAGAACCUUACCUACUCUUGACAUCCAGGGAAUUUGGCAGAGAUGCCUUAGUGCCUUCGGGAACCGUGAGACAGGUGCUGCAUGGCUGUCGUCAGCUCGUGUUGUGAAAUGUUGGGUUAAGUCCCGCAACGAGCGCAACCCUUAUCCUUUGUUGCCAGCACGUAAUGGUGGGAACUCAAAGGAGACUGCCGGUGAUAAACCGGAGGAAGGUGGGGAUGACGUCAAGUCAUCAUGGCCCUUACGAGUAGGGCUACACACGUGCUACAAUGGCGCAUACAAAGAGAAGCGACCUCGCGAGAGCAAGCGGACCUCAUAAAGUGCGUCGUAGUCCGGAUCGGAGUCUGCAACUCGACUCCGUGAAGUCGGAAUCGCUAGUAAUCGUGGAUCAGAAUGCCACGGUGAAUACGUUCCCGGGCCUUGUACACACCGCCCGUCACACCAUGGGAGUGGGUUGCAAAAG
Molecule: ribosomal RNA, 501 nt
Filed under: bacterium R-57
Lineage: Bacteria
Description: bacterial SSU rRNA
Rfam family: Bacterial small subunit ribosomal RNA
Source: RNAcentral